RNAcentral lists this ribosomal RNA (435 nucleotides) under uncultured bacterium. Its description in RNAcentral is "partial 16S ribosomal RNA". It matches the Rfam family "Bacterial small subunit ribosomal RNA", at positions 28 to 507 of the family's 1533-position model. The record is from RNAcentral.
GAUGAACGCUGGCGGUAUGCUUAACACAUGCAAGUCGAACGGACUCUUCGGAGUUAGUGGCGGACGGGUGAGUAACGCGUGAGAAUCUGGCUUUGGGUUCGGGACAACCACUGGAAACGGUGGCUAAUACCGGAUGUGCCGAGAGGUAAAAGAGAAAUUGACUGAAGAUGAGCUCGCGUCUGAUUAGCUAGUUGGUGAGGUAAAGGCUCACCAAGGCAGCGAUCAGUAGCUGGUCUGAGAGGUUGACCAGCCACACUGGGACUGAGACACGGCCCAGACUACUACGGGAGGAAGCAGUGGGGAAUUUUCCACAAUGGGCGAAAGACUGACGGAGCAAUACCGCGUGAGGGAAGAAGGCUCUUGGGAUGUAAACCUCUUUUCUUAGGGAAGAACAAAAUGACGGUACCUAAGGAAUCAGCAUCGGCUAACUCCGUG